RNAcentral lists this ribosomal RNA (275 nucleotides) under uncultured bacterium. RNAcentral's name for it is "partial 16S ribosomal RNA". It matches the Rfam family "Bacterial small subunit ribosomal RNA", at positions 28 to 303 of the family's 1533-position model. The record is from RNAcentral.
GACGAACGCUGGCGGCGUGCUUAACACAUGCAAGUCGAGCGGUAAGGCCCUUUCGGGGGUACACGAGCGGCGAACGGGUGAGUAACACGUGGGUGACCUGCCCUCAGCUCUGGGAUAAGCCUGGGAAACCGGGUCUAAUACUGGAUAUGACUCCAUGACGCAUGUUGGUGGGGUGGAAAGCCUUGUGCGGCUGAGGAUGGGCCCGCGGCCUAUCAGCUUGUUGGUGGGGUGANGGCCUACCAAGGCGACGACGGGUAGCCGGCCUGAGAGGGCGA